This is a non-coding RNA of Camellia sinensis, 450 nucleotides long. The record is from RefSeq and is a predicted model, not a curated record. NCBI's taxonomy places the organism in Eukaryota, Viridiplantae, Streptophyta, Magnoliopsida, Ericales, Theaceae.
CCUAAUUGUAGUUGAGAAAAAGGCAAAAAAGGAGAAAGGGUUGGCUCUGUUUUGUCUCUCUCCCUGUUAUCUUGUCUAUCCUGUCCCUCCCUCUCCACCAACUCUAAUCACAACCUCCUCCUAAGCACCCACCUCACAAGGUUUAGAUGGAUUUGGAGACGGAAAACAGGAUAGCUGCAAUUCUUAUGAAAGAGGCAGCAAAAUUGCGGCGACAAGCUGAGGAGGGUGGUGUGCAUGUUUAUCUUAGGCAGCCCAAUGUUAGGGGUCAGCCGAAUUCACGUUUUCCUCACAGCAACUGUUCUUGGUGUACAACAGGGUUAGUUCUGUAGUUGUUUAAGUAUAAAAAAAAUUAUAGUGUGAUUCGAUACUUAUGAAGAGUGUAUGUGUAAUUUAACAUUACUAUAUCUAUAUAGUUUUGAUGCGCACUAGUUUGGUGCCCCCUUCAGCCAA